GCACUAUCAGCAGCAGGAGCAGCAGCAACCCCUCAACAGCAACAUUGUACCCAUCAGACAUCCCUGGACCUGUCCCUGUUACCUGUCUGAAUCAUCUGAGAGCGACUGAGUGGCAACGUACAAGUGGAGCGGAAGUGUGAGUGACUGCAGAGGAGAGUGGAGCGAUUACAGAAGAGCAUCGUUUGUGUGUGUGGACUUUUCCCCCUAUAUUUUCCCCUCAGAGCCCUGGUACCCUGCACAUUGUAUGUAUUGCACUUGGUGAACUUUGUAAUUAAAGCUAACUAUCUUUUGAAAAGGA
This is a long non-coding RNA of Oreochromis niloticus (Nile tilapia), 298 nucleotides long. RefSeq lists it as uncharacterized. The transcript has 2 exons. The record is from RefSeq and is a predicted model, not a curated record. Lineage: Eukaryota; Metazoa; Chordata; Actinopteri; Cichliformes; Cichlidae.